GAGGGUGUAGCUCAAAGAUGGAGCACGUGCUUAGCAUGCAUGAGGUCCAGGGUUCAAUCCCCAGUACCUCCA
Molecule: transfer RNA, 72 nt
Filed under: Camelus bactrianus (Bactrian camel)
Lineage: Eukaryota; Metazoa; Chordata; Mammalia; Artiodactyla; Camelidae
Also listed under: 2 other names
Rfam family: tRNA
About the family: Transfer RNA (tRNA) molecules are approximately 80 nucleotides in length.
Source: Rfam by way of RNAcentral